UGCCACAGCGGAACGAUGCCAGAGAUCACU
Molecule: non-coding RNA, 30 nt
Filed under: Mus musculus (house mouse)
Lineage: Eukaryota; Metazoa; Chordata; Mammalia; Rodentia; Muridae
Source: RNAcentral